This 112-nucleotide ribosomal RNA is filed under the name Acanthosepion pharaonis. Lineage: Eukaryota; Metazoa; Mollusca; Cephalopoda; Sepiida; Sepiidae. The record is from RNAcentral.
UUACGGUCAUAUCACGUUGAAACACCAGUUCUCGUACGAUCACCGAAGUUAAGCAACAUCGAGCCUGGUCAGUACCUAGAUGGGUUAUCGCUUGCUAAUACCAGCCGCUGUA